CCCUACAUUUCCCACAAUGCCCUUCUGCUGUCAUCCGCAGGAAGACUAUUCCAAAGUCUCUGAGCACCUACGGCGAAUGCUCGAUCACCCCUAGACUUGAGUCUGGUUCUAGAAACCACUAAGAGCCUUAAGUUUGCAGACCUGAGAGCUCUUGGAGGUUGGUGAACUAUCAACAGGUCCGAGAGCUAUUAGGUCAGUAGCGUUGAACCCAUCAGAGACACAGUUAGCCACCGACACGAGAGGAAUCUCAGGAGUCUGAAUCUGACCUUCACAGAGGACAAACACAGAGAGCAGAAUAAGCCCUCCAGCAGCCGCUCGUGAUCAUGCCUGAGAAAAGACAAAAACCUGAGAGAAUAAAAUAAAGGAAACCCGC
Cyprinus carpio carpio is the source of this 373-nucleotide long non-coding RNA. The record is from Ensembl. NCBI's taxonomy places the organism in Eukaryota, Metazoa, Chordata, Actinopteri, Cypriniformes, Cyprinidae.